Molecule: transfer RNA, 77 nt
Filed under: Oscillospiraceae bacterium
Lineage: Bacteria; Bacillati; Bacillota; Clostridia; Eubacteriales; Oscillospiraceae
Also listed under: 1 other name
Description: tRNA-Arg
Rfam family: tRNA
About the family: Transfer RNA (tRNA) molecules are approximately 80 nucleotides in length. Their secondary structure includes four short double-helical elements and three loops (D, anti-codon, and T loops).
Source: RNAcentral
GCGCCAAUAGCUCAGCAGGAUAGAGCAACUGCCUUCUAAGCAGUAGGUUGAGGGUUCGAGUCCCCCUUGGCGUGCCA